Molecule: long non-coding RNA, 14708 nt
Filed under: Ananas comosus (pineapple)
Lineage: Eukaryota; Viridiplantae; Streptophyta; Magnoliopsida; Poales; Bromeliaceae
Description: long non-coding RNA (ACOM_LNC020924)
Source: RNAcentral
UAUCUACUAUGGCAUCCUUUUUAAUUAUAAUAUUCAAUAUGAUGGUGUCAUUGAUGGUGUAGGUGGUAAUAGUAAUGAUAGUGCUAAUGAUGUUGAUGGUGGGGAUGAGAGUAAAGCUGAUGUUGGAGUUGAGAUGUAGUUAAGGGUGAAGAUGAUGUCGGAAUUGAGGGUGUAGCUGAGAAAGAAGAUAAUGUUGGAGAUAAGGGUGUAGGUGAGGAAGAAGACGGUAUUUGUAAUACACCGAACUUUAGCAAAUUGUAAGGUUCGAGUGUUUGAUCUGUGUUCCAAGUUUUUUCAGAUAUUCCAGAGGGUCGUUGACAGUGUUCUGACCGAUGGCUCGCAUCCCGAGAAUCGAGGUUUAAAACUUAGCACUAAAAUCUCUAAAGUGAAUAUUUUAGGCUACUCUCGGGUUGGACUCUACAGAGCAGAGUACCGGUACAGCAUCGGGCUCGUACCGGAACUGGAGGUGGUACCGGUACAACAUCGGGCUGGUACCGGUACCCAGUGUAUUUUUCUGCGAACCCGAGGCUCGGGUUGGCGUAGACUGCUGCUUGGUACCGGUACUCUUUUUCGUGUACCAGUACGCAGUGCAGACUGCAAACUGCUCAUUUUUUAGAGGUGUUUUUGCAUUUGUAGCAACACUAUAUGUUACCCCACGCCCCUUGGAGGUUCCCUGAGCUUGGCAACACAGGAGAGAAAGGUAAGGGGCCCUCCUCACCUCUUCUAUGGAUUUCUUCCAUUUUAGUUGGGAUUUUUGAGGUUUAAUCACCUUUUUUUAUUUUUUUUUGCUUCUUGGUGCUAUUUCCACCAUGAGAGAAGUCUUGGAGCUUGGAUUGAAACUUGUUGCAGGAGAGAUCUUCAAUCCUAGUUGAUUUCUAACCUUGUUUGGAGCUUCUAAAGAGAUUAGUAGCAUGUUUCCCUCAUUUAAUCUAUGUUUUGGUGGAUUUUCAUGUUGAAACCCUAGAAUGAGAAAACUAGGAUUUAUUUUGGGAAUUUUUGAUUUAUAGCUCUUGGGGCUUAUUUGAUAGGUGUAGAAUAUCUCGUUGAGGUAGAUUUGAAGGGCUCUAGCUUCCAUUUGAAAUUUGAGAGGGUUUUUCCUACAUUUAGGUGAGUUUUGCCCUAUUUGUGGGUUGAUUUGAGAUGAACACUUCGGGUGUUCAUUUGCUUUGUCUAACUCUCUUAGAAAUUACUUUGGGGAGCUAGAAGACUCGUGGACACCUUCAUUCGUGCAAACGAAAGGGUUGCAAGGAGCUCUUGGUGGGUUUGACCUCACCGAGAUAGGUGAACUCCCCCUAUGCUUUAUUCUUUGUCGUAAAAUAGAAAUUCAUAAAUAUUCAUACUAGAUAGGGUAUAAUGAAUUUUAGAACGAUUAAAAUGCAUAUGUUAUAUAUCAUGAGAUUUCGUCUCUAUGUAGUAGAGAAAUAGGUGCAAAGUGCUCAUGCUAGUAUAUGAAAUCCUCAUGAUGUGUUGGAACCAUGUUAUAUGUAGAUGAAUGACAUGCAAUUACUUGCUCAUGAACAAUGGACAUAUGUUAAAUAUAGUAGAAUUAUAAUAUCAUAAAGUGGCAUUGUACUUGGUGUAUGCAUGGACUUAGUGAGCUACAAUGUCAUAAAGGGGCAUUGAGCUUAGAAUAUGUUUGGGCUUGGUAAAUUUAUAAUGUCAUAAAUUAGCAUUAGAUAGUAAAUGGUUGAUCCUUUACCUCGUGACAUAGUACUAGACCUUUAGGGUUGCUAGUAUUAUAUCAUGUUGAGACAUGAUGACAGAGUACUUGAGAUGAUGAUUACGCUUGAUUGCCAUUUGUGCUCAUUCGCACAUGCUUGUGAGGGUCGCUCCCUACAAGCCGGAACUCCGGAGUUGGCCUACGCGACUUAUACUCGCCCGUGCAGAAUUGAGGGCCUACUGGGUUUCCGUGGGACAGUCACAUUCCUAUAGAAAUGCUGGACUAUCCGGGGCCAGUAGGCUGCACAAGUUGGACUCUACUUGUGUAGGUCCUAGAUUGGAAAUGGAAUAUGACAAUGUAACAACUAAGUGACAUUUACUACUUGAUAGUAGGUAUUGGUUGGGCAUAUUAUUACACUAGUUGGACUUAGUAGUAUAUUGAUGGACUAUGCUUGGUGCAUAUUUACAAUUAUGAUGAUCAUGUUUAGAACAUACUAGUGUAUUCCUUGGAUAUAAUCGAUCAUGAUAGAUUAGUAACUUUUCAUGUUUAUAUCAUGCUAAACUUGCGACAUCCUAACUUAGCCAAAUUAAUUGUUGUAUUUCCUUACAUGUUGUUUAUUAUAGUUCUUAUACCUCUUUAGCCUAGUGGAGUAUUUUCGCUGAGGUCAGCGGUUUGUCCAUUGGGAACUAUUGUUUAAUAGUUUUCAUGCCUUUUAUUUGUUGUUUAUUUCAGAGCCUUCCACGCCGGGAGAGGCUCGGGACCGCGGCAAGGGCGUCGCUUCGGGAUAGCUAGCGAGGAGUCUUACUUUAGGUAGUUCAUUUUCUCCUUUUGUUUUGGUUGGAGAGAAUGAGAGUUUUGUACCCUUUUUGUAGAGACUACCACCUUAUGUAUCUAGUGCUAUUUAUGGUUCUUAAUGUAUUUAUCUAACUUCGGGAAUGAUGAUCUUCUAGUCUAGUUACUUAUUUCUCGUGGUUAGAUUCUAGCUUUAUUUAUGCUCUGAUAUCUCUAGAUGUCUUGUUUCCUUGCUUUCGUAUACUAUUGCUCUAGACGCCUUAUAUGUGUAGGCAUACGGCGGGUCUGGAUACGCAUCAAGCGGGUUUUCGCUGGGUUCCGGGGCGUGACAGAUUAUUUUGGUAUCAGAGCCUAGGGUUGAGUCUUAGUGGACCUAGCAAAUCUUAGGCCGAUUGGACUAUAGAAAAUAGGCUCGUGAGAGACGGGGUCUAUUUGACUUAUAAGCAAAAGUAUCAUGAUUGGGUAUUAUAUAUACUCUAAAAGGUUGGAGUUUAAUCGAAGUGUAUAGCUUCUAACUUCACGGAUGGUUACGUUGGCGGCCGGCAACGUAACAUCGGGAGUUAGUAGUAAAGAACACUUCAUUACUUUCGCAUGAUUUGGGGUAUUAUUCUCUUUGAGCGGGGUUGCGAUGGCGUGGAUUUUACUAACUUGCGCUUUUAUGAUAUUAUAGUGACGAUGCCGAUUACUCGCUCUAAAUUUGUUGGGGCGGAGAAUGCGGCAAACCCCGAGGAGGUGGAGACCUCCGCUACUUCCGGAUCUAGCGAGGUCCGCGACUUGAGGUCCCAGCUUACGAUCCUCACUGAUCUUGUGGCUCAGCAGGCAGCGGUGGCUCAGCGGCAGGCAGAUGUGGCGCACCGACAGGAGUCACGGAUGUAGCGGUUGGAGGAUCUUUUAUUUCAGCAGGCAGCUGCGAGGGAGGCUCAGGAUUCGGCACCACCCACGCCGGUAGAGGACGUGGCACCGCGGGCGCCGUCCCCCGCGCCUGGUGUUCCACAAGCGGCGCUUUUUGUUGAGCCUCGGGAGGAGGUUUUAGCGGCACCACCGGCUCAGGUGCCCCCGGCAGGAGCGGCUGUCCCGAUGAUGGUUGAGCGAGCAGAGCGAGACCGGCUUAUAGAUCGCCUCAACGAGUUCAAGAGAUGCAAUCCGCGAAUUUUUGACAGGGAGAAAGUGGACACUGGAUAGUAGAGAAGUGGCUCAUGCAUAUGGAGAAGUUAUUCCACGACACCUUUGUAGAGGAGCGCAACAGGGUGUGGCUCGCCACUCACAACCUUGACGGCGAGGCCUAUUGCUGGUGGUUGGAUAUACGGGACAACCCGAACAUGGAUCUAUCCGGGAUCUCUUGGAAGAGGUUCAAGGAGCUUCUAAUGGCAAAGUACUUUCCAGAGAGCGUCAAAAGAAAGAUGGAGCAGGAUUUGCGCAGCUUGGGCCAAGGGGAUCGGACUGUGGUAGAGUACGAGAGGGAGUUCUCUUGGCUUCUUCAUUGCGUGCCUUUCGUCGUGCGGGACGACGAGGAUAAGGCCUGCAUCUUUGAGCGUGGACUUCAGCUGUAGAUCUUUCGAUUUGUGCAAUCCUCCAACCUCCAGACUUAUCGAGAUGUGGUGAACCGCGCGCUCAUUGUGGAGAGCGGUGCGGCGGAUUUGCAGGAGCGUCGAGAAGGGUUGGAUAAGGGUAAGGGUAAGAGGCCCGCGGCUGAGGGUGCGAGCCAGACGCACUUAGGGAGCCGCUGAGAUACCCUAGGAGCCAGUCGCGUGGGCGCGGCCCGACCACGCAACGUAGGGGAUCUGACCGCCCCCGGGCUCCUCGUUGUGUGAUCUGCGAUGACUCUCAUCCUCCGCGGCAGUGCACAAGACGUAGGGGCAGGUGCUACUUGUGUGGCCAGGAGGGCCAUUUCCAGAUUGAUUGCCCGAGGGGUUCACUUCCAGCGCCAUCAUCUGCAUUGGCACCAGCUUCACCUGGUCCCAGCCAGGGGACUUCUUCUGCUCCCUACCAGACUGAGCGGCCACCCAUCCAGCGACAGACUGAGGGGUCACGACAGGCUCCGAGUGGGCGCAUGUAUGCGGCCCAGACAGAGGAGGCGGCAGCAGCCGAGCAUGUGGUGGCAGGUAUCAUUUUAUUAUAUGGCAUUCGAGUUCGAGCUUUAUUUGAUACCGGUGCAUCGCAUUCAUUCAUAGAUUGGCUAUUUUUCGAGUUGUAUGGCAUCCCACUUGUUUCUUUGUUGCAUCCGGGAUGUGUUGUAGUCCCCGACCACUCUUUAGAUAUUCGAGAGUUUUGCCCCAGUUGUUCCGUUCGGGUAGGAGAUUGGAUCAUGCCCGUGGAUUUUCUAGCACUACAUAAACUUGGAGAGUUUGAUGUAGUCUUGGGCAUGGAUUGGUUGACCAAGUAUCAUGCUACUAUCGAUUGUGUGAAUCGAACAGUUACCUUUAGAAAGCCGAGACAGGAGGAUGUGGUGUUUAGGGGAUGUCAGAGUUCGCUGUUUGCGAUGACGAGCAGUAUGUCUCGUGCUAGACAGUUGAUUAGUAGAGGUUGCACAGCCUAUUUGCCUAGUGUGGUACUGAGGGGGUGAUGAUGACACUCCUAGGAUUGAGGAUAUCCCAAUAGUACAGGAGUUUGGUGAUGUGUUUUAAGCAGAGCUACCAGGUAUGCCACCUGAUAGGGAGAUUGAGUUUGUGGUAGAUCUCAUAUCUGGGACUACUCCAAUCUCAAAGGCAUCCUAUAGGAUGGCACCGGCGGAGUUGAAAGAGCUGAGGGCACAGUUGCAGGAUUUGUUCGAUAAAGGUUUUAUUCGACUGAGUAUCUCGCCGUGGGGAGCGCCAGUUUUGUUCGUCAAGAAAAAGGACGGAUCACUUCGCUUGUAUGUGGACUAUCGUGAACUUAAUAAAGUCACGAUCAAGAACAAGUAUCUGUUACCGAGAAUCGAUGAUCUGUUUAAUCAACUUCAAGGAUCAAGUGUGUAUUCCAAGAUCGACUUACAGUUGGGAUACCACCAGUUAAAGAUCAAGCCUGAGGAUGUAUUGAAGACGGCUUUUAGAAUACGGUAUGGACAUUAUGAGUUUACUAUUAUGCCGUUUGGGCUUACUAAUGCCCCGGCAGUAUUUAUGGAUCUAAUGAACCGUGUUUUCAUGCCUUAUUUAGACAGGUUCGUGAGAGUUUUGAGGAGCCCUAGGAUCUAUCUAGAUUGUAUCAAACACCUAGAGGGGGGUGAAUAGGUGUAACGGCCAAAAACCACAAAUCUUAAUGCAAUAAAAGUAAAUGCGGAAAAUAAAAAUCACACCGAGAUUUACGUGGAAAAACUCCAACUUGGAGUAAAAAAUCCAUGGGACCAACACGCGAAAAAAUAAUUCACUAAGAGAAAAGAUUAUAAGGGAUUACUGACUCCACGGACUCGACCUCUCUUAACCUCCUAUGAAUCUCGCGCAAUCCUCCGAGUUGUCCAUGCCCUCACGUUCGAAUUCACGAACGUCUCACUCACGUCCGAAUCUACGAACGCCACUCGAAUCCACGAGCCCACGAUCCAAAUCCACAGACCGCCUUCGUUCACGCCGAAUCCACGACGUCGUCCAUGAAAAACAUCAUGCUAUGGUGAUCCUUCGCUUAGCAUAUCGAUGAAGAACCAGAGACAAAACUCUAAGCGAAGUCUUAGAUCAAUUCGACAUAUAGAUCUCAAAUUACGAUAUCUCGAAUUGACCUAAAACAGGUCAUUUUGUAGAAAAUAAGUUUUGGACGAAAUCCUAACCAAUAGGGUUUCUCAAGCAUGUAUUCUCGUGAUACUUAAUGAGUUAGAGAACCCUAAUAUCUUAUUUAUAGACUUUAGAAUCAAUUAGAGUCGGAUUAGAAAGUUUUUAGAUUUUUACACCUGGUACCGGUACUAAAUCAAGUUGUUACCAGUUACAAAAAGGACGACACAGAAAACUACUUCAAUAUUGAUAACCGGUUACAAUGUCAAUGUUGUAUCGGAAUCAAGUUAGUACCGGUACUCUUUCAAUGCUGUACCGGUACAAUAUACAAAUUUUCAGCAAAACUUGAUUUCGGGUUUCAUAAAGUUCCGAAGCACUUUCUAAUCCACUAAACUUUGAUUUUCAUAAUUCUAAUGUCUAUAACUAAGUAUGAAUCAUCAUAACAUGAAUUAAAAGCUUACUUGAGCAUCGUGAUUCAUGUCGUGAGUUAUUUCUGAUUUUUCCAAAGUCUUGGAUUCUUCGAUCUUCGAACGAUAUGCACCGAUCCUUCAAGACUCCGACUCAAUUCACGAAACUUGCCAACACAUAAUACUUAACAAUCUCCCCAUUUGGCAAUUUUGUGACAAAACACAAAAACUCAAAAAAAAAAUCUUAAAAGAAAAAACGAAGUUCAAUGUCAUCACCAAAACACCGAACCCCUCGCGUGUAAUCCAAAUACAAUGUGAAAUUCAAAAAUACAUCAAAUCUCCUAAAACAGACUCUACGACUUAGACGCAACUAGUAGUCUUAAAGUCUUGAUUUCCUACAAAACAAAUUAUCCAAAAACAAUGUAGAAAUUUGAAACCAUUGGAUUCUUAUUAUACCUUCAAGUCAUUGUCGAUGUCGAAAUUUCAUUCCUUCUCCCCCUUUGUUCUUGAAGUCUUUUCCUGCUUUGAUCAAAACCUGUCCAUCUAUGUUCUCCCCCUUUUUGUCAAAAAUUGCCAAAACAAUGCAUAUAGAGAGAAAAGAUACUAGAAAGCAGGAAAGUAGUCAUGUCAUAGUUACAACCCUAAAGAGAAAUGCAAAGACAAGCAAUGAUAAACUAAAACAUCGUCCUAAAAGAAAGACAAAAACAAACUAAGUGCGAAGAUGAAAUCAGUCGGUGUCCUCCUCAUCAUCAUCAUCUCCAGCUCCCUCUCCUCCUACGUCUGGUGUACUAGUGGAAGGUGGUAUAAGUGGAUGUGUCGAUGUCGACCUGGUAUAGGUAGGAAAUACAUCGUCGUGUCGACAUCCAAGCUUCUCCCAAAUUCUCUUCAUCCCUUCUUCCAACUUUUUAAACCUUUCUUAAUAGAAUGCACCUCACGGUGAAGUGACUCUACAGUAAUCACUCCCCCUGAACUCGAAGAUCCCUCAGCCUCUGCACGACGUGGAGGUGCGGAACUAGAAGCUGCUCUCGAAGAUCCCUUCGUCUACUGAAAAGUCUUCAAUGUGCUCACUGACUUGGCCCAUGUCACUCGAUCAAUCGGUCCAAGGCCAUAGUCAUAUUUCUCACACGUCACGUCUACUCCAUUUUCUUGCAAAAUUCGUGUGAUCAACAUAGGAAAUGGAAGUAGCUCACGUUGUCCCGAAGAUUGUAUCACGUGCACCAUUCAUUGCCAUAUAAGAAAAUGAAUGUUGAGAUUCAAACCAUCUGCAAGCUCAGGAUGGCCAAGUAGAUAUAGAAGAACAAGCCGAUCCCAGCAAAUCCUCUUAGUCCCAAUAGUCGAUUGAACAUUGUAACAAAGCACCAAGGACAAAAGGUGAUACUCCGGCUUCAAGUCCUUCGAUUCUACAUAAGCAUGGUUUGUCCUCGUUCCAUCUUUGCAAAUAGCACGAAUAACUGUGCCCCAGUGAGAUGAAGACUGAUAAAUCCCUGUAAUGAAGACCCGUGGUAUCGACAUUCAACCCCAAAAGCUCACCAACUGUGUGUGGGGUAACAAGAAUCCUCUGCUGACGUACAUAUGUCUCGAAUAAGUACGUGUCGGUCUCCUCAUCCACUGCAAGAACCUUUCCAUACAUGUAAAACUCCCAAAUGAGUUCCACACAAAAAGGUGAACGUGCCGGAACCCGUCCAACGGGCUCGAUAGGAGCUCUCUGCAGUAAACGCCCAAAGUCUGGAACCUCCUGAACAAGCUCCUUGAAAUUCACAUAACGUUCCCCAAGGCACGAUCUGCUUGAGAAUGCUUUUCGCCGCUCCGUUUGAACCUCUGCAGCGUGCUUUGAGCGACUUUCACGGCCACGAGCUCCACCUUCGCAUAUCACAGGGCCACCUGUGCUUUGCCUAGGAGGAGAACCCUUUUUCUUACAUGAGGUUUCAGCAGCUAUCCGUUUGCCUUUGUCGGUUCGAACAACUGUUUCUUCAGCCUCCUCGUGGGAGCUAGCCCGAUAAUCUGGAUCAGAAUCUGACGACUCGUCGACAGUACGAGUCCUCUUAGAAGCCCCACGACGGCCUCUACCGCGACCAUGACCAUGACCACUUCCCGUGGCCAUAAGCACCAAUAGAGCCAAAAGCAGUGAAAAUGCCAUUUUCCUACAAAAACAGACCUUGCAUGAAUAAAAUCUGUAAAAAUAGCAAAAAAAAUUAUAAUAAUCUUAGAAUGCAUAACUACACUAUUUUUAACUAAUUCGAGCAAGAUUUAUCAUAAAAAGUGGCAUUUAACAUGUAAUCCCGAAAAUUUGUAUAUAAUAAGGUAUAGAUCAUAGAUCAGCAAAAAAAAUGCAAUAUGUCAUGAUCUAAGUGUUCUAGAAGUGAGAAUAUAUGUAUAUAAACUGAUUCAAGGCAAAAAAUUGCAACAAAAACGGUUCAAAACUGAGAUCGAGCUUCGUCUUAGAUUUCGUUCGAAAAACAGCAAGAACGGGAGAAAAUGAUUAAAUCCGAGGAAGAUACUUACAAAUCGUUGAUGGAAACACGUGGAUCUGGAGGAGAAGAUCACCUGGGAACUUUAGAGAGCGAAAGAGAGAGAUUUGGUUGUGAUUUGAAAGAGAAACGAAAACCUGUAACCGGUUUAUAAAAUGCGGUCUACAGUACUGGUACCGGUACACGAUCUAGUACCGGUAUCGGUUCACAGAUUUCGAAAAAUUUUUCUUAGAAAGCUUCAUAAUUAAAUUAAAUUUAUAAAAAUUAAGGAUUGUACUCCAAAAAUCAUUAUAAUGAAAAUAAAAUAUUAUAAGAUUUCCAAAUUUAUCUAAACAUCAAAAUUUUGUUAUAAAAAAUAACCUAAUGAUUUAAAAUCAUCAAGAUGUAACGGUUAAUGAAAAAUGAUUUAAAGAAAUUCGGCAAAAUUGACAUCAAUUUGUCGCAACUCGUUCAAAAUAGAGAUUUAACCAAUAAAACACAGGGGGUGGCUCUUUGAGUAUCUUUUCAUCCUACUACCUUAUAACUCCGAAAAAUCUAAAAUAUUCAAAAUUUUCAACUUUUUCGGCUAUUCAAUUAAUUUCCAUGUGGUUGCUUCACACACUUACCGGACGACCGGGGUGGUAGCUCUUUCCUAUAUGUCGUGGUAGUUUUCACACUCCUUUUGGAUGUAACUCUUUCCACAUCUUUUAAACAUAAGAGUUUUUUUCUUUUCUUUUUUUAAAUCAUCAUUUUUUUUAAAAAAAAAUAUCAAACUCCCCCUAAAUUAGACAAUCUCACAGUUGAAAGUAAUUUUGACAAAUUUUAAUCUAUUAGCGAAUAUCCAUUCAUCAUAUUCAACAUACACAACCAAGAUAGAUUAAUCGCCAAGAGAUCAAAAUUGAUUCCAUAAUUUGGAUGAAUAUAUGUAUUAAGAAAUCAUAUAAUAAAUUAUCGCCAAAAUAAUAAAAGUAGAGUAAAACCGAUAAUUAAUAUGAAUUUAACUCAAGAUGAAAAUGAAUUUGGUUAAGGUACUUUGAAAAAAUUUAAUCUCCCCAAAUUAAUGAUUUUAAAAACAUCAUCUCUCUCAAAAAUUUUUCAAAAUAUAAUUCCCAAUCAUCUUUCCAAACCGAUUCAAAACAAAUUUCAAGCAUUCAAAAAUCGUCUAAACAUGUAAUGUAAUGAAUAAAAUAUGCAAUAAGUACCAAUCAAAGCAUUACAUAUAUAAAAACAAACUAAGACGAAUUAAGAACAAGGAAAGAUAUCACCUUUCCGGAUCCAAACUUGUCGGAUCGUUGGUCGUCUUGGCUUGUCGAUGUUAGGCACAACUCGUUUUGACUUUUGAUCCACCGUUGGUUGCUUCGUUGCAUGAGACUUCGGUUGAAAUUGCCGUUGAAGCUUUGAAUUCCAGUUUGCUUGUUGUACUCGACUAGAUUGAGUUUGCUUUGAAUUCCGAUAGGGAUUAAAGGGUGCCAUCAGACGUUUAGAAGUUGCCGGUUGAUUUUUCUUAUUUUUGUUCGGGCAACUCUUUUUGAUAUGUCCUUUGAUGCCACAUCCAAGACACACCUUUUCUUUUGAAUUUGUUGAGAUAUUAGAAAUUUGCUUUAAAUCCUUCUCAACAUAAGUCCUCAUAUCUGAGGCCAAGCUUGUUCGUUUGACCCAAUCCGAGCAUGUGAUCCAAUUUCUUUGAUCCGGAAGAAAACUUUUGAACGUCGGAUUGAAGUUGACAAACUUGAUUGGUCAAGACUUGAUUGGAUGCGUGAAUUUCCUUGAAUUGAUGCUCCAAAAAUCCAAUCUUGUCUUUAGAAGAUUUAAUCAUUAAUUCCGCUUCAUCAAGCUUCUCUUGGAGGAUUGAAUUGUUCUUAAAAAAUGAUUCAUUUUCCUCCUCAAGAGCUUUGUUUAUAAUCUUCUCAUUCUUGUUCUCCUCUUCAAGUUCCAAUAAAUGCCUCCUCAACUUCUUAUUAUGCUUCGCCAUCUUCUUUGAUUUGAUAAGAAGUUGAUUGUACACUUCCGCUAAAUCCUCGUCGUUUGACUCCUCGCUCUCGUCAUCAUUGCUCAAAGUACCAUGCAAGGAAGGAGAAACACUAGAAUUAGAAACAAUUGAGGAUAAACAAACAACAUUAGACGAAGGCAAAGAAGUGUUAGUAAAUAAAGCAAGAUUUUCAUUCUUUUCUUCGUCAGUAAAUAAAGCAAGAUUUUCAUUCUUUUCUUCGUCACUUGGAGUUGAUUCAUCCGAAGUAGAAUCAUCCCAAGUUUUUACUUGCAAAACCUUUUGUUUAUAACUUUUCUUAGAAGGACAAUCCGUAGAAAUAUGGCCGUAGCCUUUACAUUUGUAACAUUGGAUUUUUCCUUCAAAUUCAUCUUUUUCUUUAGAAGGCUUUGGAAGUUUCUUAUUCUUAGAUUUUGAAUUCGAGGAAUGUUUAGAAAAAGAUUUUUGCUUCGAAGAUGAAGCAUUAUUCGAUUUGUUCUUCUUUCGGAGCGCUCCUAACUUCUUCGUUAGGAACGCCAAUUGAUAUUCAAAAUCCGCAAUUGAGAUCUCUCCGUCGGAACCCGAGUCCUCGUCUUCCUCCUUUGUCAAUUUCAAUGCAACCCCUGUACUUUUAGAGAAAAACUUGGAAGAAGAUUGGUUAGUAGGAAAAGUCAUCUCAUAAGUUUGUAAAGCACCUACUAACUCUUCGACUUUCAUCUCGUCCGGAUGCUUAACUGUUUCGAUUGCGGCAACUUUUGCCCUAAAGCGUUCUGGAAGAGUUCGAAGAAUUUUUCUAACAACUUUUGAUUCUGGGAUUUUUCUCUCUCAAGUUAGCACAAGUAUUAACAACAUCUUGAAGUCGCGUAUAGUACUCAGUAAAGGUCUCGUUUUCUUCCAUAAAAAUUGAGUAAAAUUUUCUCGUUAAUACUUGCAAUUUUUGGACCUUUACGAAGCUAGUUCCUUCAUGCGUAACUUGUAGAGUAUCCCAAAUCCCUUUGGUGGUUUCACACGCCGAAACGCGAGUAAACUCCGUUUGAGAUAAUGCAUUAAACAAAGCAUUUAUUCCUUUACCAUUGAACGAAGAUGACUCGUUUUCAUCUUUUGUCCACUUAUUUCUCAGUUUAGGGACGGUAGCAUUAUCGACGACUUCGGUGGGAUGUUUUCAUCAGAAUUCGAUUGAUUUCUAUACCCGCUCAUCGAUUGCGAUUAGAAAAGUUCUCAUGCGAAUCUUUCAAUAGGCAUAAUUUGUGCCAUCAAAGAGUGGUGGUCGAUUAAUGUUACCGUCUUCGGCCAUUAGAUAACAAUAUAUCUAGAUCCGGCUCUAAUACCAAUUGAGAGUUUUGAGGAGCCCAAGGAUCUAUCUAGAUUGUAUCAAACACCUAGAGGGGGGGUGAAUAGGUGUAACGGCCAAAAACCACAAAUCUCAAUGCGAUAAAAGUAAAUGCAGAAAAUAAAAAUCACACUGAGAUUUACGUGGGAAAACUCCAACUUGGAGUAAAAAACCCACAGGACCAAUACGCGAAAAAAUAAUUCACUAAGAGAAAAGAUUACAAGGUGAUUACCGACUCCACGGACUCGACCUCUCUUAACCUUCUAUGAAUCUCGCGCAAACCUCCGGGUUGUCCACGCCCACACGUUCGAAUCCACGAACGCCUCACUCACAUCCGAAUCCACGAACGCCACUCGAAUCCAUGAGCCCACGAUACGAAUCCACGAACCGCCUUCGUUCACGCCGAAUCCACGACGCCGUCCAUGAAGAACAUCAUGCUAUGGUGAUCCUUCGCUUAGAAUAUCGAUGAAAAAUCAGAGACAAAACUCUAAAAGAAGUCUUAGAUCAAUUCGACAUAUAAAUCUCAAAUUACAAUAUCUCGAAUGACCUAAAAGAGGCCAUUUUGUAGAAAAUAGGUUUUGGAUGAAAUCCUAGCCUCUAGAGUUUCUCAAGCAUGUAUUCUCGUGAUGCUUAAUGAGUUAGAGAACCCUAAUACCUUAUUUAUAGACUUUAGAAUCAAUUAGAGUCGGAUUAGAAAGUUUUCGGAUUUUUACACUUGGUACCGGUACUAAAUCAAGUUGUUACCGGUUACAAAAAGGACGACACAGAAAACUGCUUCAAUAUUGAUAACCGGUUACAAUGUCAAUGCUGUACCGAAAUCAAGUUAGUACCGGUACUCUUUCAAUGCUGUACCGGUUCCAUAUACAAAUUUUCAGCAAAACUUGAUUUCAGGUUUCACAAAGUUUCGAAGCACUUUCUAAUCUACUAAAUUUUGAUUUUCAUGAUUCUAAUGUCUAUAACUAAGUAUGAAUCACCAUAACAUGAAUUAAAAGCUUACCUAAGCAUCGUGAUUCAUGUCGUGAGUUAUUUCUGAUUUUUUCAAGGUCUUGGAUUCUUCGAUCUUCAAAUGAUAUGCACCGAUCCUUCAAGACUCCGACUCAAUUCACGAAACAUGCCAACACACAAUACUUAACAGUUCGUCGUGGUGUUCAUCGAUGAAAAAGGACGUUGGAGAGUUUGUAGCUCGAUGUUUAACUUGUCAACAAGUGAAGGCUGAGCACUAACUACCCGCGGGAAAACUUCAGAGUUUGCCUAUACCCGUGUGGAAAUGGGAAAAGAUCACCAUAGACUUUGCUAUGGGAUUGCCUCGCUCACAGGCCGGGCAUGAUGCUAUUUGGGUGAUCAUGGAUAGGUUGACAAAAUUGGCCCACUUUAUACUUAUUCACACGACUUGGACAGGUGAGAGACUUGCACAGGUAUAUCUUGAUGAGAUUGUGCGGUUUCACGGGGUACCUACUUCGAUAGUUUCAGAUCAAGAUUCCCGAUUUGUAUCCCACUUUUGGAGGAGUCUGCAGGAUGUCUUGGGCACGCUCUUAGAUUUCAGCAUGGCUUUCUACCCUCAGAGUGAUGGGCAAUCUGAGCAUACUAUACAGACUCUAGAGGACAUGUUUCGAGCGUGUGUGAUAGACUUCCAGAGAGGAUGGUCACGGCAUUUACCGACGGCGGAGUUUGCUUAUAACAAUAGUUAUCAAGCAAGUAUCAAGAUGGCACCAUUCGAAGCGUUAUAUGGACGGAAGUGUAGAUCACCACUUCAUUGGAGUGAAGUCGGUGAGAGUUUGGCUGUAGGCCCCGAUGUGCUUUAGGAAGCAGAGAACAAGGUUCGCAUUGCUCGGGAGCGUUUGCUGAUGGCUCAGAGUAGACAGAGGAGUUAUGCUGAUAGACGUCGACGAGACUUGGAAUUCUAAGUUGGAGAUCAUGUCUUCUUGAAGGUCUCGCCGACAAAAGGAAUUAGAAGAUUUGGCAUGCGGGGAAAGUUGAGCCCCCGGUUAUUGGACAGUAUGAGAUUUUGGAGCGUGUAGGCCCGGUAGCGUAUCGGCUCGCACUACCAUCGAACCUAUCGGGUGUGCACAAUGUCUUCCGUGUAUCGGUCCUGCGGAAGUACAUCUUCGAUCUAACUCACGUUUUGGAUGUUUUACCAGUGGAGCUGAGGAAUGAUUUGAGCUUUGAGGAGCUACCUGUGAGGAUUGUGGCUCGCGAGGUGAAGAAGCUUCAGAAUCGUGAUAUUCCGUAUGUGAAGGUUUUUUGGAGCAACCACGAUGAGCGGGAGGCUACGUGGGAGUUCGAGAGCGUGCUGCAGGAGCGCUAUCCCCAUCUUUUUCAGAUGGAGUCUUUAGGUACUUUGCCUUUUAGUUUCGCGGACGAAACUUCUUUUCAAGAGGGGAGAAUGUAAGACACUGAACUUUAGCAAAUUGUAAGGUUCGAGUGUUUGAUUU